UCGAACGAGAAAUUUCGAGCUUGCUCGGGAGAGUAAAGUGGCGCACGGGUGAGUAACGCGUGGGUAACCUGUCCUUAAAUUUGGGAUAAUCCACCGAAAGGUGGCCUAAUACCAAAUACAGUCCAAGGAACCAAGGUUCUUGGGAUGAAAGCUGACCUCUUCAUGAAAGUUGGCGUUUGAGGAGGGGCUCGCGUACCAUUAGCUUGUUGGUAGGGUAAUGGCCUACCAAGGCUACGAUGGUUAGCUGGUCUGAGAAGAUGACCAGCCACACUGGAACUGAAACACGGUCCAGACUCCUACGGGAGGCAGCAGUGAGGAAUCUUGCGCAAUGGGGGAAACCCUGACGCAGCGACGCCGUGUGAGUGAAGAAGGCCUUCGGGUCGUAAAGCUCUGUCAAGUGGGAAUAAAGUCCCUCAGUGAAUACCUGAGGGAUCUGAAGGUACCACUAGAGGAAACACCGGCUAACUCCGUGCCAGCAGCCGCGGUAAUACGGAGGGUGCAAGCGUUAUUCGGAUUU
This 517-nucleotide ribosomal RNA is filed under the name uncultured bacterium. RNAcentral describes it as "bacterial SSU rRNA". It matches the Rfam family "Bacterial small subunit ribosomal RNA", at positions 62 to 552 of the family's 1533-position model. The record is from RNAcentral.